CCUACGGGGGGCAGCAGUGAGGAAUAUUGGUCAAUGGACGAGAGUCUGAACCAGCCAAGUAGCGUGAAGGAUGACUGCCCUAUGGGUUGUAACCUUCUUUUAUAUGGGAAUAAAAUGUUCCACGUGUGGGUUUUUGUAUGUACCAUAUGAAUAAGGAUCGGCUAACUCCGUUCCAGCAGCCGCGGUAAUACGGAGGAUCCGAGCGUUAUCCGGAUUUAUUGGGUUUAAAGGGAGCGUAGGUGGAUUGUUAAGUCAGUUGUGAAAGUUUGCGGCUCAACCGUAAAAUUGCAGUUGAAACUGGCAGUAUUGAGUACAGUAGAGGUGGGCGGAAGUCGUGGUGUAGCGGUGAAAUGCUUAGAUAUCACGAAGAACCCCGAUUGCGAAGGCAGCCUGCCGCAGCGUUACUGACGCUGAAGCUCGAAAGCGCGGGUAUCGAACAGGAUUAGAUACCCGAGUAGUC
This 460-nucleotide ribosomal RNA is filed under the name uncultured bacterium. RNAcentral describes it as "partial 16S ribosomal RNA". It matches the Rfam family "Bacterial small subunit ribosomal RNA", at positions 338 to 795 of the family's 1533-position model. The record is from RNAcentral.